Molecule: ribosomal RNA, 801 nt
Filed under: uncultured fungus
Lineage: Eukaryota; Fungi
Description: eukaryotic LSU rRNA
Rfam family: 5.8S ribosomal RNA (bases 423-577)
Source: RNAcentral
AAGGAUCAUUACAGGAGGGACGCUUCGGCGUCCGUAAAAUCAGUCUCGUGUCACGUUUCUAGGAAAGAGAAAAAAUGAUAAGGAGCCGGGGGACCAUCAAGAGGGGCCCACAGUGUUGGCUUUGGACAAUAUGGAAUAACUCUGUAAGACCACGGCCCUCGCUGGUCAAGAAUGAUGCCGUGCCUGUUGGACCAUCUCCAGCGGGGGAAGUGUGCUAGGGACCAUUGGGUUGCCUCGUCAGAGGCACGCGUUCGAAGUCGGUUCAGGUGGGUCUGCGCCUCCGGAGCACAGACAAAAAUACACCCUUUAAACACCCGUGCACCCUUGGCGCGAGUGCUUUCCUCACUCGCGCCCCAAUACAUAUUAUAACGCUUGUCAUGCAUGUCUUGUCGGGCUCUACGGAGCGUCAUAAAGUUAAAUACAACUUUCAACAACGGAUCUCUUGGCUUUCGCAUCGAUGAAGAACGCCGCGAAAGUGCGAAACGUAAUGUGAAUUGCAGAAUUCAGUGAAUCAUCGAAUCUUUGAACGCAUCUUGCGCUCCUUGGUAUUCCGAGGAGCAUGCCUGUUUGAGUGUCGUGAAGAGAGGAGUCGAACGCCUCGUUUACGAGGGGUUCGGAUUUGGACGCUGUCGGACCUCGUCCGGCUCGUCUCGAAAUGCAUUAGCCGUCACCCAACCUCGUAGACCGACGGUGUGAUAAGUUGAUCGCCGGAGCGUCGCGUGGGUAGGGUCGGCUUCUAGUCGUCUUUGGACAAUCAGUCGUUCUGACCUCAAAUCAGGUAGGACUACCCGCUGAACUUAA